UUAAGAAAGUUCACCUCUUCUAUCUCUGGACAGAAGACGCUGAAUUUGAUAUUAGUUGAUGACAAGGUAAUGUAAAUCUUAUAUAUCUCAUGCUUUU
RNAcentral lists this small RNA (97 nucleotides) under Arabidopsis thaliana (thale cress). RNAcentral's name for it is "ATSL161070". Lineage: Eukaryota; Viridiplantae; Streptophyta; Magnoliopsida; Brassicales; Brassicaceae. The record is from RNAcentral.